CUAAUGAUGUGUUAAUUUUGAUAAUCUUUUCAAAAGCCUGACUUUGUUUUGUUGAUCUUUUGUAUUCUUUUUUAGUCUCUAUUUCAUUUAGUUCUGCUAUCAUCUUUAUUAUUUCUUUCCUGCUACUAAUCUUGGGUUUGUUUUGCUCUUGCUUUCCUAUGUCCCUCGAAGUUCAAUGUUAGAUUAUUUAUUUGAAAUACUUAUCUUUUUUGUUGUAGAUAUUUGUUGCUGUGGGCGGCAAGCCACCCAGGUGCUGAGGCAAGAGAUCAAGGGCACGAGCUGUUCCAGUAUAAUAAAAUAUAUAAAAUAAGAAUAGUUAUACUAGAUAUAGACAAUAGAUAUGAUUAUAUAUGAAUAUCAUUAAUCAUUAGUUUGUAGCAAUUGCUCUUUACUCCAAUAUUAAAAUAAUCCUUGCCCUACAAUCAUAACCUAGGAAAAACCAGGUCAUACAGAGACAGGAGCUGAGGGGACAUAGUGAGAAGUAACCAAAAGAUAAGUGUGAGCCGUCUGUUAUGCCCGGGCAGGGCCACCAGAGGGCUCCUUGAUCUAGUGGUAAUGCCAGCAUCUGGGAAGACGCCCGUUGCCAAGCGGACCAUGGUCUAGAGAUAGCGUCAGUGUCAAGGAAAAACACCUGCUACUUAGCAGACCGGGAAAGGGAGUCUCCCUUUCCCCGGGGGAGUUUAGAGAAGACUACUCCUCCACCACUUGUGGAAGGCCUGACAUCAGUCAGGCCUGCCCGCAGUUAUCCGGAGGCCUAACCGUCUCCCUGUGAUGCUGUGCUUCAGUGGUCACACUCCUAGUCCACCUCCAUGUUCCAUCCUGUACACCUGGCUCUGCCUUUUAGAUAACAGUAGCAAAUUACUAAAAGUACUAAAAGUCACUGAUAUGCAGAAAUAAUGGUGUAAGCUCUCUCUCUCUGCUCUUUCUCUCUGCCUCAGCUGCCAGGCAGGGAAGGGCCCCCUGUCCAGUGGACACAUGACCCACAUGACCUUACUAUCAUUGGAGAUGACUCAUACUCCUUACCCUGCCCCUUUGUCUUGUAUCCAAUAAACAUCAGUGCAGUCUGGCGUUCAGGGCCACUACCAGUCUCCGCGUCUUGGUGGCAGGGGUCCCCUGGGCCCAGCUGUCCUUUCUUUUAUCUCUUUGUCUUCUGUCUUUAUUUCCACAACCUCUCAUCCCUGCACAAGGGGAGAACAACCCACCAACCCUGUGGGGCUGGACCCUGCAUGUUGCCAUAAACUUCCUUCUGAGUACAGCUUUUGCUGUAUUCCAUAGGUUUUGGUGCCGAGACUUUCUUAUAGUCAGCAUAUAGACACAGGACCCACAGAAUCAGCAAUGCAUGCAAAGCACACCAUUGAUGCCAAAGCCGGUUUUCUCCAGGACUGCAAAGUUGCAUUUAGAAAAAAGUUAACACUAGAAAAUCAGUCACUGUAAUUUGCCACACUGAAACGCUAAGGGAGAACAAUCAUAUUGUCAUCUGAAGAGAUGUAAAAAUUAUACUAUACAAUUCAGGAUCCGUUUCUGAUAAUAAAGUGUUUGCAAACUAGAAAUAGGAGGGAACUUCCUUAAUCUGAUAACAAGAGCAUAGAAACGCAGCUCACAGCAGCGUCCCCGUCCCAGCUCUCACCGCCCCACCCGUGGCCCACUUUGCCCUGGGGGCCAAACCCAGUGCAGAAAGAUGAAAAGCAAAAGGCACGAUGCUUGGAGAAUGAAAGUGAAGACCAGCAGGACUCACGGACACGCCGCUGGGAAUGCCAAGACCCACGGGAACCGCAGAUCACUUAGCCACACAGGAAAGUUUAGCGAGUUUACUGAACAUAGACAAAAGUCACUUGUUUUUCUAUAUACAAGCAAUGAACAGAAAAUGACUUUUUAAAAAUAGCUACCACUUACAAAGGCAACAAAACUACCAACGAUCUAGGAAUUAAUCUAGUGAAAGACGUGGAAGGCGUUAAUGCAGAAAGCUGAGAGGCGUCACAGGAAGAUCUAAGUAAACGCGGAAACGCACCACGUUUCUGGGUUGGAAGCUUUCCUGUUGCAAAGAUGGGAAAUUUCCCCCAAAGUAAACUCUGGGAGGGAGACAGGACUUGACGAACUGACUUCAGAUUUCCCUGGAAACCCAGCCCACAGCGCAGGGCGGAGAAGGCUGUGGGUUUCCCAGCCAGGCGGCCGCGGGUUCUCCCUGGGCGGUGCUGAGGAGUGGGGGCGUCCGGGGGCUCCUCCCUGCCAGCCCGGCGUGGGGGGCAGGGGACCGCGUGGAUGGGACCCCAAACGCGCACGGACACAGCCAGGAGGCUGCCCGGGGGCGCCGGGCCCAGGACGUGCGGAUGCGGGCGCUGCGCGAGGCGGGGUCCCCGGGGCGGGGAGGGGGUGAGGGUCGCUGAGGCGGUGGCGCCCCCGUCUUGGGCUCUCAGUGAGGCGGACCCGGAGCCCUGGGAGAGACCCCGAGAAACGGGCGGGACCUGGAGUCUGCACCCGCCCGAGGCAGGGGGCGCGGUGGGGCUGCAGGGCUGGGUGGGCGGCGCCGCCACGCGGUGCGCUGCGUCCAGGAAGAGCCUCCGGCGCGUGCACAGGCCUCAGCCCGGGGCCUCCAGGCGGGGGGCUCUGCCUGUGGGUGGGUGGUCGGCCCGGAAGCUGCCCCGGGAGAAGGGGCCGCGCCAGGGCAGGGCUGGCGGGACUGGGCAGGGCCAGAGCCGCGAGUCUGCGGUGUUCGUGCCCUCAGGGGUCCUGGCCGCCCCGGCAAAGCCUCCUGGUGGGCACCGCAGGGUGGAGCCGGGCUGUGCCGCGCACACAGACCCAGUAAAGCUCCCGGGCUGCCCCCAGCACAAAACUAGAGGAGAUGAGAAUGGCACCUUCACCGAUGGACACCCAGCCUCCGCUCUCCCCUAACCCACAGCCCCGGCCUUUGGAGCCCCGGCUCGGUCCCGACGCACCCCAAUGCCCACCUCCAGCCCUGGCCCCCGCUCCACACGCCUGUGUCCACGCCUCUGCCCAACUGUUCCUCCAUCUCUGAACUUGCACCCCAAAACCUUACUUCCGACUUCCCCCAGCCCCCAAAACCACGCUGACCCCAGAACCUUCUGCUUUUCCCUGUUCCACACCCACAUCCGAUCCAUCAGCAAAUCCAUCGGACUGCACCCCGGCAGCGUCUGCAUGAUUUCAGCCGCAAGGGCUGCCCCCAACUGGGCCCUGCCCCACGCAUGCUCCUCCAGCGUCCACAGGUCGAGGGGGAUCCAUGAAAGCAAAGUCAUAUCAGUCCCCACUCUGCUCACCACCCCGCAGCCGCUCAGUCGGUGACAGUCAAGGACACACCACAGGCCUGUGUGCCGCCCCCCACCGCUGAGCUCAGCCCUUCCUGCCCACUGCUGGGUCCCCCACCACGCAGGGCCCAUGCCCACCUUCGCCUCUGCAGGAGCCGUCCCCUUUCCCAGCACUCUCUUCCCUCACCCCUCCAGGGUGGAACCUGGCCUUGGGUCUUCUGUCCAAGCAGUGGCCCUGAUCCCACUCCUUUUCGUGCCUGCCUCUCCGUGCCACGCUCCACCCCCACGUGCGGCAGAGUUGACCGCCAUUAGCUGUUGUCUGUCCCCCUCCAACACCUGAUCCCCCAGGCAAAAACUCAUCCGUCCACUGCUGAGUCGGGAGCCAGUGCAGAGACCCAGGAAGGGCCCGCUGACAUGGCUGAAAGUGAAUAGAUGGGACAUUUAUGAAUGUGGCUUUGGGGCACGAGAACACAGAGCCAUACAUCUGCCUCCAGCAGCCCUGGAGGUCUGUGGCCUGCGUGGAUCAGGACCCCAGGCCAGGCUGUAUGGACUGAUCUGCUGUCCCCAGGGCCAACAAAGUCCCUUCUCCAAGCACACACAGAAGGCGGGGUCCAAAGACCCCUCAGUGGGUCCUGGGCACCUUCUCCUCACCUCCCACUGCCCUCUGCCAGCUUGAGCUGUCCAGCCUGGACCGCCCCUCUGUGGGGCAUCAGCCAGGCUCAGCCAACCAGGCGGGGAGCAGUCAGAGGACCUUGGUGUCCAGGGAGAGGGCUCUGUCCCAGGGCCCUGGUCCUCACGGGUCUAGGUGACGAGGGCAGAGGGUUCAGGUGCCUUUGCCUUAAUAGCCCAUGAAAAGGUUUCCUCAAUUAACCCUGUGCCCCUCACAGUGGACUGGCCAGAGAUCAGGAGGUGAGGGACAGACAGUGAGUCAAACUCCAAUCUUAGCCCCGAAUGCUCUGAGCAGGUAGGCGGAGUCCACCUGUGGGAGGCCCUGGGGGAC
This is a long non-coding RNA of Chlorocebus sabaeus (green monkey), 4260 nucleotides long. RefSeq lists it as uncharacterized. Lineage: Eukaryota; Metazoa; Chordata; Mammalia; Primates; Cercopithecidae. The record is from RefSeq and is a predicted model, not a curated record.